ACGAACGCUGGCGGCAUGCCUAACACAUGCAAGUCGAACGAUGCCUUCGGGCAUAGUGGCGCACGGGUGCGUAACGCGUGGGAAUCUGCCUUGGGGUUCGGAAUAACUCCCCGAAAGGGGUGCUAAUACCGGAUGAUGUCGAAAGACCAAAGAUUUAUCGCCCUGAGAUGAGCCCGCGUAGGAUUAGCUAGUUGGUGUGGUAAAGGCGCACCAAGGCGACGAUCCUUAGCUGGUCUGAGAGGAUGAUCAGCCACACUGGGACUGAGACACGGCCCAGACUCCUACGGGAGGCAGCAGUGGGGAAUAUUGGACAAUGGGCGAAAGCCUGAUCCAGCAAUGCCGCGUGAGUGAUGAAGGCCUUAGGGUUGUAAAGCUCUUUUACCCGGGAAGAUAAUGACUGUACCGGGAGAAUAAGCCCCGGCUAACUCCGU
This 431-nucleotide ribosomal RNA is filed under the name uncultured bacterium. RNAcentral describes it as "bacterial SSU rRNA". It matches the Rfam family "Bacterial small subunit ribosomal RNA", at positions 29 to 506 of the family's 1533-position model. The record is from RNAcentral.